Molecule: ribosomal RNA, 202 nt
Filed under: uncultured bacterium
Lineage: Bacteria
Description: partial 16S ribosomal RNA
Rfam family: Bacterial small subunit ribosomal RNA
Source: RNAcentral
UGCAGCCUGCAACUCGGCUGCAUGAAGCUGGAAUCGCUAGUAAUCGCAGAUCAGAAUGCUGCGGUGAAUACGUUCCCGGGUCUUGUACACACCGCCCGUCACACCAUGGGAGUUGGGAAUGCCCGAAGUCAGUGACCCAACCGCAAGGAGGGAGCUGCCGAAGGCAGGCUUGAUAACUGGGGUGAAGUCGUAACAAGGUAAC